Molecule: transfer RNA, 64 nt
Filed under: Elliptio icterina
Lineage: Eukaryota; Metazoa; Mollusca; Bivalvia; Unionida; Unionidae
Description: tRNA-His
Source: RNAcentral
CUAGUGAGUAGUUUAAGAAAAGACGAUAGGUUGUGGUUCUAUAGAUGGGUUGCCCUUCACUAGA